RNAcentral lists this long non-coding RNA (708 nucleotides) under Homo sapiens (human). Its description in RNAcentral is "non-protein coding LINC01269:7". The record is from RNAcentral. Lineage: Eukaryota; Metazoa; Chordata; Mammalia; Primates; Hominidae.
GCCACUGUGCUAGGUGCACACACCUGACUGAUCGUCUUGUGGGCUCCCGCAUUUCCUGUUGCUCCAGGCAUCAGAUAUAUCCCUGGGAUCCCUCCAUUAGCUUGGCAAUGCUAUGGAAGUUGCCAGAAAAAGAAUCCUAAGGAAUUGGUUCUUGGCAAAUCCUAAGGAAUUUGGCUCAGGCAUUUGUCUUCCUAAUGAACUGGUGGGGAGGUAGCUGUGUUGGUACAUCAUCUCCAAGGCAGGAUCCUGCCCUCUGAAGCUUGAGUGGCUCCCAAAGUCUCAAGCCCACUGUGCUGAUUUGAGCAUUUGGCUCAGCCUUUUCUGGUCAUCACCAACGUUCACCUGGCCAUGCUGAUGGCAGCACGCAUGGAUCUGGCCAUUCCCACAGCCUGGUCACCCCAUGGUGGCCCUUGAUUGAGCUUGCCAUGGCACGGAAGGGGGCCUCUCCUACUCACCGAUCUCCUUAUUGAGAGAAAGAGUCUUGCUGUGUUGCCCAGGCUGGUCUCAAACUCCUGGGCUCAAGAAAUCCUCCCGCCUCAGCCUCCCAAAGUGUUGGGAUUACAGGUUUAUGAGCAGGAACCAUUGCUUAAGAAAUACUCACCAUCAAGCAGAAUCAUGAGGGACAGAGCACCAUGAACUCAGGGAGCAAAGAGAACACUGUGGGGGUAUUCUUAGGGAUGGAAUCUCCACAUCAAAUCUAUUGGCAAG